UACGAGUGCCCCGAGCGUUAUCCGGAAUCAUUGGGCGUAAAGGGUGUGUAGGUGGCAGUGUUAGUCGGUUGUUAAAACCUGGGGCUCAACCCCAGACUUGCGAUCGAAACGGCACAGCUAGAGGAUGGCAGGGAUGUAUGGAACUCAUGGAGUAGGGGUGAAAUCCGUUGAUAUCAUGGGGAACACCAAAAGCGAAGGCAGUACAUUGGGCCACUCCUGACACUGAAACACGAAAGCGUGGGUAGCGAAUGGG
This 253-nucleotide ribosomal RNA is filed under the name uncultured bacterium. RNAcentral's name for it is "partial 16S ribosomal RNA". It matches the Rfam family "Bacterial small subunit ribosomal RNA", at positions 524 to 776 of the family's 1533-position model. The record is from RNAcentral.